AGAAAUUUAGGUUACCGAAACCAAGAGCCUUCAAAGCCCUAAACGGGAUAGACCAUCCCAAUUUCUG
RNAcentral lists this transfer RNA (67 nucleotides) under Gekko swinhonis (Peking gecko). RNAcentral's name for it is "tRNA-Trp". Lineage: Eukaryota; Metazoa; Chordata; Lepidosauria; Squamata; Gekkonidae. The record is from RNAcentral.